Molecule: long non-coding RNA, 2687 nt
Organism: Cynoglossus semilaevis (tongue sole)
Lineage: Eukaryota; Metazoa; Chordata; Actinopteri; Pleuronectiformes; Cynoglossidae
Exons: 14
Source: RefSeq, a predicted model, not a curated record
AUCGCCCUAACCUGGAUUCGAACUCGCACAGGAGGUGAAAUCUGAGGUUUAUACCAAGAGCAGAAACAUUGCCUCUGGGCCAAAGUGCCACUAACACGCGUAAUUGAAUCUGAUAAUCUCCGAUCUACCUGUUGAGUCUGUGUUCCUGAUUGAUUAGUUUUGCCUGCUGAGGUCAGAGGGGAGCUUUCCUCCUCGACCCUUCACUUUUAGCGAUUGUUAACUUGCUAAAGCGAGCGUGGGUGCAGUAGAGGAGGCUGGCAGCACAGUGUACAGGAUGUACUCUGCCCUUGUCCGUUGACAGCUGGGAUUGGCUCCGGUACUAUGAACAUUAAAAAACAAAGAAGGAAGUCCUACUUGUCAUGGUGUCUUUUCGGGAGGUGUGCUCGCCCUUGUUGCCAAGUCACUCACCAAUGAGUUCCUUGUUCCUGAUGUCCAGAGCCAUGUUUCUCAGAGCUGUGGCCACAGCACACACGACCCGAUCAUUGUCUAUCCUCAACAGCUCCACAAGGAUGGGAAGACCCUUCUCUUUGCGCACGGCAGCCCGAAUAUACAUUGACCACUGAGAGGUUAAGGGUGAAAGGUGUCCCAUCAUAAUGAUGCAGCCACAGUGGCACAGCAGCUCUUACCUUCCAGCUGCCAGCGGCUAAGUUCUGCAGGGCCCCAGCUGCUCCCUCCAGGGUGUCUGGGUUGGAACAUUCAGACAGCAGUGUGAGCAGCCAGAACUUUCUGCAUCCUUCCCACCAGUAUCACAUAACAGACCGUCCAACUCCUCUGACCCCCCCUGUUGACUCUGUGACGUCUCUGCAGCCAGACGGCACGGCAAACACAAACGUGGUAAGACACUGACCGGAGACAGCCCGUGGCGUUGCGAAGAACCUGUGAGGAGUGGAGUUGCUGCUUGCAGUCCUGUGGGGAGUUGUCCCAGCCUGAGUGAGGGACUAUCACAGCAUUGCAGUCUCACCAGAGCGGGGAUGCCUCCACAGUUCUUCAGGGUUAUCUUGUUGUCGUCAUUGACUUUGCCGUACACCAGGUUCCUCAGUGCUCCACAGGCACUGCGGUGGACAUCUGUCAUCCUGUGGUCCAACAGGUCCACCAGCAGCUGGAUGCCACCCUGCCGCCGGAUCUAAGGACAGAGAAAGAAGAAGAGAAAUGAAGACAAAGCCACAAAACAUUUUUUCAUCAGCCCUGAAGGUGCUGGAGGUAAGCAGCAGCGUUGGACUGAACAGAUGGAAACUGAUGCUGUAACAUCUGGAUCACCUCUGGCAGCUCUGGAUCCCUCCAGCCAAACUCCCUACAGAGGAAGAAAAGAUACCAUUGCAGGAAAUUUUACGUGAAGGAAUGGAGCGGGAGAAGGAGACAAAGGAUAUAAAUAUGCAGCUCCAUCAUUCUCCUCUAGAAGCCCCUCCUUCGUCCUGGUGGUGCUGGACUUACUGUCUGUUGUCGUGGUGUCCUGUGAGUCCAAAAUGCCUGAUUCCUGGAGGGAUCGAAUGCAUGAGUCCACCAGCUCCAGGCCUGUUGUCAACUCUUCUUCUAUGUCCUUUGGUCCAUCUACCUCACCGUGAUUAAAAGUGUGUAUGUUGGCAACAUGAAACAACUGUUUGCCUGGACAUUGGACAUUCCUGGACUGAACAUCCAGAACCUUCCAGCAUGAUGCAGAUGUGUUGACUAUAGAGAAGAUGAACGGCUUGAAGAACAAAGACAACACGUGAUGAAAACCAAAACAGCAUUGAUCUCAAUCCAGGGACACGUCAGAGGUCACAGAGGAGCUGGAUCCAAUCCCACCACUCAUCAGGCAUCAGUGGUCUUCACCAAUCCAUCACAGGACCAUGUACAGAGGCAAACAACCAUUCACACUCACAUUCACACCGACGGUCAAUUCAGAGUGAACCAGCAGGAGGCAAGAGCACUAACCACUCUUCCACAGAGUGGCCCUUGGGUAAGAUCGAACCGCUAUUAUCUCUCUCUUCAUCCUUGUGUCCCCCUUUUUAGCCUUUCACUUUUUACUCUUUCACCUCACAAGGCCAUUACGAGGCUGUAGAUCGUCUGACCUGGUUGGACUAGAAAAGCUAUUUCACAGUAUCACUCUGACUUUAAAGAAAGGCUGCAGUCUAAAACAUGCAUGAGUUUUUCUCUUCUUCUUCUUCCUUCUUUUACUCUCAGCAAACACUGGUUAUCUUUAGCUUUAAAGUGCAUUUCUCACAUCCAAUAAUACUCACCGACACAUGGUGUAGGCCGCCACGAGCAAAACAACAACUGUACUGCACCAAACCCACACACACUGUGCACAUUUGAGAAGCUUUCAUUUUUUCAAAGUGGUACAAAGCAGCUCAUUAGCAUUGGAAAUUUGAUUUUAUUCCUCCUCCUGUUUCUCACUUUGUAUCACCUUGUAAUAACGGAAGAGAUUAUCGAUGUCUGAGGCAAAAAAAACCAACAGUUUAAGCACAUGGGAAACUCUGCCAGAAGUUUUAAGGAAAAAAAUGUGCAUUACUGCCAGAGCUAACUGUGGUUAACUACAGCAGGGCUGACAGAAGACGAAUAAAUAAAAUAACAACUUUAAAAUAUAUAUGUUAAAGAGAGUACGAUUCUAUAGAAAAAAAAGGAAAAGGAAAAUUUUAAAUUAAAAACUUUAAAAUAACUUAACAUAAAAUAUGAUGACACACAUAAAAAUGCAGAAAUCGAACCUGUUC